GGCCUUUCAAAUCAUGUAUAAACAAACAUUGCUCAGAAUUGUUUAUUGUUAGUAACGGUAGAUAUAACCUUUUUUUACAGAUAUAAAUUGAAUAAGUUUAUGUGCCUAUCCUACCUUACUAUCUACCCAUAACAGUGGUCCACCAAUCAACAGUAUAAAUUCAUUUUUUUUCCUUGGCUUUACGUGGAUGAAAAUCAUUUGGAUUCUCAAAAAUGUUGGAAAAUUUAAUACAAUUUGUUAUAGUUACCAACCUAUAAUAGGUAAAUCAUAAGUUGUUCCGUUGUUCGUAUGGGGUAUGACCAAAAAAAUAUCCAGUGUUCAACCAAAUUUGGUUUUUAUCUUCGUAAAAGUAUAUAAAUACUACCUAUAAACCUACUACAAGUAAUUAUAUAUAUAUAUAUAAAGUUGAAAUCUGACAAAUCUCAGAAAUGCCCUGGCAAAAGGUGAAGUGUUUACAUUACAUAUUUCAGCUUUUGCCUGUACAAACCUAGUUGUGAGCAAACUCAUUCGUGCAAAUCAUCCAUAAAUUUAUUUUGUAAAUAUGUAAAUAUAUAAAUCUAACAAUAAAAGUAGCUGCAGAUUUGCCUAAAUAUUUAUCGUAUAUUGUCACUACAUAAUAUGUCAAAAACCAGAUAUUUCCGUGCAAGGUCCAAUGUUUGACUAAAGGAGAGCGAGUAUUGUAAUAUUAUUAACAUGUUGCCAUUGGUACCUACCUACUGUAAAAAAUUAAAUGUACGUUACAGAUUUGCCCGAAGGAGGUCAGGGGCAUCAUUUAAACCUUUUGAAAAGUAUGCUGACAAAUAGACAGGCCAAAAAAAUGUUCAACAGGUUAAUAUAGAUUUUACUAUAGUUAUUAAAAAAAAAAAUUUUCUCCUUGACCUCAAAAAAUUAAACUAUUUUCCAUCUAAUGAUCC
This is a non-coding RNA of Cinara cedri, 914 nucleotides long. The record is from the annotation of a GenBank genome assembly. NCBI's taxonomy places the organism in Eukaryota, Metazoa, Arthropoda, Insecta, Hemiptera, Aphididae.